UACGUAGGGACCAAGCGUUGUUCGGAUUUACUGGGCGUAAAGCGCGUGUAGGCGGCUCUUCAAGUCAGGCGUGAAAGCCCCGGGCUCAACUCGGGAACUGCGCUUGAUACUGUCGAGCUAGAGUGUGGAAGGGGCGAUUGGAAUUCCGUGUGUAGCGGUGAAAUGCGUAGAUAUACGGAGGAACACCAGAGGCGAAGGCGGAUCGCUGGGCCAACACUGACGCUGAGACGCGAAAGCUAGGGUAGCAAACGGG
RNAcentral lists this ribosomal RNA (253 nucleotides) under uncultured bacterium. RNAcentral describes it as "partial 16S ribosomal RNA". It matches the Rfam family "Bacterial small subunit ribosomal RNA", at positions 524 to 776 of the family's 1533-position model. The record is from RNAcentral.